UAAUACGGAGGGUGCAAGCGUUAAUCGGAAUUACUGGGCGUAAAGCGCACGCAGGCGGUUUGUUAAGUCAGAUGUGAAAUCCCCGAGCUUAACUUGGGAACUGCAUUUGAAACUGGCAAGCUAGAGUCUUGUAGAGGGGGGUAGAAUUCCAGGUGUAGCGGUGAAAUGCGUAGAGAUCUGGAGGAAUACCGGUGGCGAAGGCGGCCCCCUGGACAAAGACUGACGCUCAGGUGCGAAAGCGUUGGGAGCAAACAGGAUUAGAUACCCUGGUAGUCCACGCUGUAAACGAUGUCGACUUGGAGGUUGUGCCCUUGAGGCGUGGCUUCCGGAGCUAACGCGUUAAGUCGACCGCCUGGGGAGUACGGCCGCAAGGUUAAA
This 378-nucleotide ribosomal RNA is filed under the name uncultured bacterium. Its description in RNAcentral is "bacterial SSU rRNA". It matches the Rfam family "Bacterial small subunit ribosomal RNA", at positions 521 to 898 of the family's 1533-position model. The record is from RNAcentral.